This 266-nucleotide long non-coding RNA is filed under the name Nicotiana benthamiana. RNAcentral describes it as "long non-coding RNA (NBEN_LNC020394)". Lineage: Eukaryota; Viridiplantae; Streptophyta; Magnoliopsida; Solanales; Solanaceae. The record is from RNAcentral.
UCGCUUCUCGCAUCUUCUUAUCCAUCGGGGCCACCCCACCUUCUCACGAAUAACUUCAUUGUUAAUCUUAUCUAACCUGGUGAGCCCGCACAUCCACCUGAGAAUCCUCAUCUCCGUUCAUUCUCUGCACAUGAGAGUUCUUUACUGGCCAACACUCCGCCCCAUACAACAUGCCAGGUCUAACCACAGCUCUAUAAAAUUUCCCCUUGAGUUUCUGUGGAACUUUCUUGUCACACAGGACUCCUGAUGCAAGCCUCCACUUUGAC